AACUUAAUAAUGAUCAUUUGAUAAUAAAAUUUGUUAAAAAGGAAGUGGUUUGUUUCCUCGAAGGCGAAAAGAACUCGCCUUCUUGUUAUUGGUCCAUGGCGGUCGAUUUAGAAAGUUGUGCGUCUCGAAACAGUCGAGAAAGUCAGCCAACAUGAGCGACUGUCCCAACACCGUAUCAGUGGUUCGAGGCUUGAUAAGCGUCGUUUGGCAAGAGUAUCACUCCAAAGGUCAGCUUUCUGAAGGUCUCCUCAACUCUCUGUACUGCAUAUUUGGCAAUACCUUAAUGAAGGCUUUCAAAAUCAUUGAUGGUCAAAAGGUUACAAAAAUAAUAUCAACAAGUGGACGAUACAUAUUUCAAGUGACAGGAAGACUUGAUACCCCUUAUUAUUGCCUACCUUAUUCUGUGUUUUGCCAGUGCCCAGCAUUCAAGUACCAAGUCAUCAAGAAAAAGGAAACAAUGUGUAAGCAUGUCCUCGCUGCUUGGCUUUCAUCAGCCAUGGGGGUAAUAACCAAAAAGAAAGUGUCUGAUGAACAUUUGAAGGAUAUUUUAGAGAACUUUGAGUAACUUAAAGCCAUACCAAGAGAGACCAUUUUUAUAAAUUGAAGCCAUACCAAGAGAUUAUUUUUAUAGGACUAUUUUCAUAGGCUCAUUACUUGCCCAUAAGGUUCAUUGAACUUCACUUUUUCACAGCCAGGUUUCAAAUAGGUCUUCUUUAGUGGAUGCAAUACUGUAAAUUUCCAGAUGACCUCUAAAUAAAUUUGUUCUUGGAAUUGCCGAUCCCUUUGGAACUAUUAUACACAUCAUGACCCUAUUAGCAGUACCAUUCUACCUGGUUGACUGCACUCCUGUGAUGUAAAAGGGGUAGAUAUAAGUUAUGUAUGGCAGUAUGACUCAAGGUAUAUUCCCUCAUUUUUCCUUAAGGAGCAGUCCAUGGAGUAAACCAGGAGUGAAGGGUGUCUCCCCUGGGAAGACCACUACGGCAAUGGAAAGCAAUGGUUUUUUCGGGGAAGACUGCCAUGGCAAUGGAAAGCAAUGUUAAGCCAGUGGCCCUGAAGACAAAGCAAAAGGAACCUCAAAGACAGCCACUAAGGAAUUGGUUAUAGGAAGCUCAAAGGUGAUUUAUCCAGAUCUCUAAACUCUGAGUGACAGCUGAAGACCUUAUGCAAGAGCUGAGAUGGGUUCUCAUCUUUAAAUGGUGCAGACAACACACUAUCCUUAGUGCUAGGCCUACUAUGAAACCACCCAAGCACCAAAGGUCUAGGAGGAGAUGUUUGUGAUGAAUCAGUACGUACUCUCAACAGGUGAGUUAGUGGUCAAGACAACUAGCAGAUGAACCAUUAAUGUAUCAUAAUGAAUGAGUAAUUGGGUGCCAGUCUGAGAUGACAAUUCUCAACUAUGAGGACUCAGAUAAUGUAACGUUUCAGACUACCCUUGGAAGGGGGAUGGACAUAAGCCACAAUUGCCAGUUAACCAGGAGAACAUCAUCCAAGACAAUUGCAGUCAACUAGAUCAUCAUCCAAGGCAAAAGUAAAAACAUUAGAAUUAGAGGACUAAAACAAAUGACCAGGAGGGACAUGACUGCAAGUGGUCACUAGUGACUGGGUAGACAAUGAGGAGACCACAGUGUACUGAACCAGUUGACAAAAACAAAAUGCAGUUGCAAAACCAGAGUAAAACCAUAUAUUUGUUGCCUCCAAUGAGAUGAAACCGAGGUCUCUUUCUCUCUUCAGCCAUAGUUAACAACUGUACUCUGCAAGUAAACUGAGUGUUGAGGAAUAAUUUUAUAGAUUAAUAUUCAUAUGAAAAUACUUACUGGAAUUGUUGCUGGUUUUGCAUCCAGUAUUAUGAAUGUAUUUUUCUGUUCUAAUUAGGUGUUACCAGUGUCCAGCAGAGAUAUAGAUGAGGCAUAUGAGCAAUUUGUCUUACAUUCUACCAAUGUUGCCAAAACGUCUUGCUUAGGACUAUACUAUUCUUCUAGAGUGCGUACAUUGACCUUUCAAGGUCCUGAUGGUUUCGUUGAAUUUCAAUACUGCGUGAAGCAUAAUGGUGCCACAGAUAUCAUCAACCCAUUGAAUAAAUGUAACCUUUUGGCAGAUUAAAAGCAGAGGUGCUGAAGCACAAGACAUGAACCAGGUGUCUCCUCCCUGAUCAGAGGAUAACUGCAGAUGGAGAAGCCAAGCACACCUGACAGGAUAAAGCUAGUUUCUGGCUGAUGGUACCACAUGUAACGGUGAAUUAUAAAUGAAGAGUUCCAGGAUUUGCUCCAUAUGGCUCUACCAAGUUCACCACUCAUAUCUGUAAAGGAUAGAUUAUGGAGUGCAUUAAUUCACAGCUAAGGUCACAUACACUUCCUAAGCAACUUGGGCUUACCUAACAAGUUUACUUCAAGAACUAUCAGCACUGCAAUGACCUUCUGGUGGUGCUUAUAAAGUAGGUUCAGCAAGGUCAGUUUCUCCGAAUGAUCUAUACUUUGCCAAGGGUUAGAACUGAAACUAUAUCCUGUUGCAAAUGGAGACUGUGUGGUCAGGAGAAGCUGGUCUUUGGGUACACAGCCCUAGAUGAUUCUGAUGGCCUUUCUCUUGCUUGCUGAAUAAGCAAGCUUACUACCAAGGAUUCAACUGUUUUACCCAGCUUAAUAAUUUCUUACCUUGACAUACGAACAGAGAUACAUCGCAGGAAGACUACCGACUAUAACCGAGGUAAUGUUGAGGAGAUAAUUCCACUACAACUUGAAACUGUAAUAGAAACCCACUGCCUGCAAUCUGUCUUUCCAAACUUUUCUCUAGAUGUUCCAAAAGAUUCUCAUGCAAUAGACAAGUACAACUUAGCUUAUGUCUUGAAUAAAGACAAAAGCUGUUCUGAACAAGAGCCAGACAAAAGCCUGGAAAGCAUCUCGAUAUCAAACAUACUAAAUCAGAAUACAAAACUGACCGUUCUGUUCUGUAAUUUGUUAUAACUAGAGAUAUACUGUCACUAGCAUCUAGAUAAGAAUAUGGAGCUGACUAAUACUUUGUGCCAAAUAAUCUAACCUAUCGCAAAAUAAAGUCCAUUUUCAUAAAAUUAUAAUAUACAAAUGAACAAAUAUAAUAUACAAUAUUUGUAUAUGAAUAUCAAAGGCACUUUGUCACCAAACCAAUGUUUCUCAUAAUAAACUCUGGAAGCUUUCAGCAAGACAACAAAACAUUGACCCCUUGCCUUUGUUUCAUAGAAAUAGGGAUGUCCACAAUUAUUUUAUUCUAAUAUAGUACUAGUUCUGGGCGAUAUUACCAAUAAUAACAGACCACUUAGAUUUUACAGGUUGGUUCAACAAAAGGUAAAGAUAAGAUCUAGGCUGAAAUCUCUAAAGUGGAAGCUGCAAUGUACCACAGUAACAUAUAAAGAUCAUAUUGAAUUCAAAAUUAAGAAUUACAGUACUGUAGUGUUGCAAAAAUUGUAUUUUAUGUGUACAAGAAUAAAAGUUACUAAAAUAAAAGCUUAUUUUGCUCCCUCCC
This is an RNA transcript of Macrobrachium nipponense, 3492 nucleotides long. It is a transcript of the gene named zinc finger SWIM domain-containing protein 7-like, with no coding region annotated. NCBI's taxonomy places the organism in Eukaryota, Metazoa, Arthropoda, Malacostraca, Decapoda, Palaemonidae. The record is from RefSeq and is a predicted model, not a curated record. The transcript has 5 exons.